This 506-nucleotide ribosomal RNA is filed under the name uncultured bacterium. Its description in RNAcentral is "partial 16S ribosomal RNA". It matches the Rfam family "Bacterial small subunit ribosomal RNA", at positions 29 to 523 of the family's 1533-position model. The record is from RNAcentral.
AGUGAACGCUGGCGGUAGGCCUAACACAUGCAAGUCGAACGGCAGCACAGAGGAGCUUGCUCCUUGGGUGGCGAGUGGCGGACGGGUGAGGAGUACAUCGGAAUCUACUCUGUCGUGGGGGGUAACGUAGGGAAACUUACGCUAAUACCGCAUACGACCUACGGGUGAAAGCAGGGGAUCUUCGGACCUUGCGCGAUUGAAUGAGCCGAUGUCGGAUUAGCUAGUUGGCGGGGUAAAGGCCCACCAAGGGGACGAUCCGUAGCUGGUCUGAGAGGAUGAUCAGCCACACUGGAACUGAGACACGGUCCAGACUCCUACGGGAGGCAGCAGUGGGGAAUAUUGGACAAUGGGCGCAAGCCUGAUCCAGCCAUACCGCGUGGGUGAAGAAGGCCUUCGGGUUGUAAAGCCCUUUUGUUGGGAAAGAAAUCCAGCUGGCUAAUACCCGGUUGGGAUGACGGUACCCAAAGAAUAAGCACCGGCUAACUUCGUGCCAGCCGCCGCCGUAA